CCUACGGGGGGCUGCAGUGAGGAAUAUUGGUCAAUGGGCGCGAGCCUGAACCAGCCAAGUAGCGUGAGGGAAGACGGUCCUAUGGAUUGUAAAACUCUUUUGGCGGGGAGCAAAAGACGCCACGCGUGGCGUUCCGAGAGUACCCGAAGAAAAAGCAUCGGCUAACUCCGUGCCAGCAGCCGCGGUAAGACGGAGGAAGCGAGCGGUAUCCGGAUUUAGUGGGUUUAAAGGGUGCGCAGGCGGAAGAGCAAGUCAGCGGUAAAAUUGAGAGGCUCAACCUCUUCGAGCCGUUGAAACUGGUUUGCUUGAGUGAGCGAGAAGUAUGCGGAAUGCGUGGUGUAGCGGUGAAAUGCAUAGAUAUCACGCAGAACUCCGAUUGCGAAGGCAGCAUACCGGCGCUCAACUGACGCUCAUGCACGAAAGUGUGGGUAUCGAACAGGAUUAGAUACCCGAGUAGUC
This 459-nucleotide ribosomal RNA is filed under the name uncultured bacterium. RNAcentral's name for it is "partial 16S ribosomal RNA". It matches the Rfam family "Bacterial small subunit ribosomal RNA", at positions 338 to 795 of the family's 1533-position model. The record is from RNAcentral.